This 72-nucleotide transfer RNA is filed under the name Ictidomys tridecemlineatus (thirteen-lined ground squirrel). RNAcentral's name for it is "Spermophilus tridecemlineatus (thirteen-lined ground squirrel) tRNA". It matches the Rfam family "tRNA". From Rfam's summary of the family: Transfer RNA (tRNA) molecules are approximately 80 nucleotides in length. Their secondary structure includes four short double-helical elements and three loops (D, anti-codon, and T loops). Lineage: Eukaryota; Metazoa; Chordata; Mammalia; Rodentia; Sciuridae. The record is from Rfam by way of RNAcentral.
GGGGUUGUGGCUCAAUGGUAGAGCACUUGCCUAGCAUGUGUGAGGCACUGGGUUCAAUUCUCAGCACCAUCA